This 373-nucleotide ribosomal RNA is filed under the name uncultured organism. RNAcentral describes it as "partial 16S ribosomal RNA". It matches the Rfam family "Bacterial small subunit ribosomal RNA", at positions 527 to 896 of the family's 1533-position model. The record is from RNAcentral.
GUAGGUGGCAAGCGUUGUCCGGAAUUAUUGGGCGUAAAGCGCGCGCAGGCGGUUCUUUAAGUCUGAUGUGAAAGCCCACGGCUCAACCGUGGAGGGUCAUUGGAAACUGGAGAACUUGAGUACAGAAGAGGAAAGCGGAAUUCCACGUGUAGCGGUGAAAUGCGUAGAGAUGUGGAGGAACACCAGUGGCGAAGGCGGCUUUCUGGUCUGUAACUGACGCUGAGGCGCGAAAGCGUGGGGAGCAAACAGGAUUAGAUACCCUGGUAGUCCACGCCGUAAACGAUGAGUGCUAAGUGUUAGGGGGUUUCCGCCCCCCUUAGUGCUGCAGCUAACGCAUUAAACACUCCGCCUGGGGAGUACGGCCGCAAGGCUG